CCCACAUUCCCACUUUCCACCUUUCAAACACACUCCUCUCUUCAUUUCAAAAACCCUACCCUUCUCUUUCUCUCUCUCCUUUUAAUCCUCAUUUCAGAAAUUCCUACCUCUUUCACAAUCUCUCUUCUCUGUACUCCUUUCCUAUCAAAACACAGAGCAAGAUCCCAUGGAAGAACCAUCCAAUCUUCCAAAAAGGGGAGUACCAGCACCGUCGAUUGGUUCUUCCGUCAUUCCGAUCGUGAACCGGCUCCAGGACAUCUUCGCCCCGCUCGGGGAAGCCGCGGCGGAGUUCAAGCUGCCGCAGGUAGCAGUUGUUGGGGGCCAGAGCAGUGGGAAGUCGAGUGUGCUCGAGGCGCUGGUCGGGCGGGACUUCCUCCCGCGUGGAACGGAUAUCUGCACCCGCCGCCCGUUGGUUCUGCAGCUGGUACAUUGCCCGAGUGGAUUGGAUGGCUCGGAUGGGGCGGAAUGGGGGGAGUUCCGGCACUUGCCCAACAAGAGGUUCUACGAUUUCGAGGAAAUCCGCCGAGAAAUUCAGGCUGAGACUGAUAGGGAAGCAGGACUAAACAAAGGUGUAUCUGAUAAACAGAUUCGCCUAGCAAUUUACUCCCCCAAUGUCCUUACUAUGACUCUUGUCGAUUUACCUGGAAUUACAAAGGUUCCAGUUGGUGAUCAGCCUAAUGACAUAGAGGCAAGGAUUAGGACAAUGAUACACUCCUACAUCAAGUGUGAAACGUGUAUUAUAUUGGCUGUUACACCAGCAAAUUCUGAUUUAGCAAACUCGGAUGCACUUCAGAUGGCAAGACUUGCUGACCGUGAUGGUUCGCGGACUAUUGGUGUAAUAACAAAGGUGGAUAUUAUGGACAAGGGGACUAAUGCUUGCAAUUUUUUGCUUGGUAACGUGAUUCCUCUACGGCUUGGUUACAUUGGUGUUGUGAAUCGCAGUCAGGAGGAUAUCACAAGAAACCGGAGCAUUGCCGAAGCACUUGCCCGUGAAGAGGAAUUCUUCCGAAAAAACCCUGUCUAUCAUGGUCUGUCUGAUCGCUGUGGAAUUCCUCAAUUAGCAAAGAAGUUGAAUCAGAUUCUAGUACAACACGUUAGAGCAGUUCUUCCAUCACUGAAAGCUCAGAUAAAUGCUCAAAUGAUUGCUGUUGGGAAGGAGCUGCGAAACUAUGGAGAAGUCAUGGAGACAAAAGCUGAACAAGGAGCAUUUCUGUUGAACAUUCUGAAAAAAUACUGUGAAGCUUUUUCAUCUAUGGUGGAGGGGAAAAAUCAGGAGAUGCCUACCAAUGAGUUGUCAGGAGGAGCUAGGAUCCUAUACAUUUUUCAGUCAAUUUUUGUGAAGAGCUUGGAGGAAGUCGAUCCUUGUGAUGAUUUGACUGAUGAAGACGUUCGAACAGCUAUCCAAAAUGCCACUGGCCCUAAAAAUGCUUUAUUUGUGCCGGAGGUACCAUUUGAAGUUUUGAUCAGAAGACAGAUUGCUCGUCUCCUAGACCCAAGUCUUCAAUGUUUACAUUUUAUACAUGAUGAAUUAAUAAAGGUAAGCCAUGCUUGUGAGGAUAUUGAACUGCAACGGUUUCCAGUCCUGAGAAGGCGUUUGGAGGAAGUCAUGGGAAAAUUUUUACGUGAUGGCGUAAAACCUGCUGAUAGAAUUAUACGGAACAUUAUUGGAAUGGAGAUGGAUUAUAUAAAUACAUCACAUCCAAAUUUUAUCUGUGGAAGCAAAGCAGUGGAGCUCGUGCUUCAGCAGUUGAGAUCUUCGAAGUCAAGUACAACGGCCUCUUCGGCAAAGCUGAAGGAUUGUACAGAUUCUGAAAAAUUGAAUAUGUCAGAAAGGGGCCAGAAAUCUCGUGCAAUUCUUGCUAGAUCUGUUGCAAAUGGUGUUGCUCAAGAUCAGGGCAUUCCACCUCAAAUAAAUAAUGAUAACGCUAGUUCAGCUGGUAAGUCAUUAGGAGGGUCUUGGAGCUUUUCAUCAAUAUUUGGAGGUAAUAACUCAACGAGCAAAUUGAAUGGCGACUUUAUUCAUGAUAUCGAGCAUACACUCUCUACAAUCCAAUUGAAAGAGCCCCCAUCCAUCUUAAGGCCAUCGGAAGUGCAGACAGAGCAAGAAACUGUUGAAGUAGAAGUGACUAAGUUGCUUUUGCAAUCUUAUUAUGACAUUGUUAGAAAGAAUAUUCAGGACAUGGUCCCGAAAGCAAUCAUGCACUUUCUGGUUAAUCAUGCAAAGAGGGACCUCCUUAUUACCUUUAUACAGAAAUUGUACAGGUCAUCAGUGAAAUACAUAACAAAGCAUCAUGCAAGCUUGUGCAUGCACACUAAUGUCGAUUCAUUCCCGAAAGAUGGAGCUUUGCUAAGCCCACAUGCAUAUGCUAUAAAGCUCAUGUACACAGUACACCCCACUUAUGUCAGUGUAGCAUUGAUCCAUUGGUCACAUGGGCCACAGUUUGCAAAACAAUUGUAUGGCUCUGAAAAAAUUAGUUGAGAUUUUCUAACCCAUCCACCUGUUUCCAAUACUGGGGCCUGCAUGCUGAUUGGACAGAUUUUAUUUCUGGGAAAACAUGUAAAAGGUCAGAUCAACCUGAUGGAUGGAUUAGAUCUCGCACCUAUGUGCCAUGCGGGCACAUGUGUGGAGUGUACACGAGUUUUAUUGCACGUGUGCACGCUUAGCAAAGCUCUGAACAUUGUGCUGUACUCUGAUAUCUGGGAGGAAAUUUGUGGAGUUUCACAUCAUUGUUACAGGAAUAGUAUCCUCUGCUUCAAAGGCUUUGCUUGGGAUGCAAGGCAUGGUUGUUACCAAAUAAUGCUUCUACUGUUUUGCAUUGCUUUUUGAGAGAACCUCUUCGAAGAAAUGCUGCAAGAGCAGGAGGACGUUGCAACCAACAGGAAACGUGCUUUAGAAAUGUUCCAUGUUCUGCAACAAGCUACUUGG
Magnolia sinica is the source of this 2926-nucleotide RNA transcript. It is a transcript of the gene named dynamin-related protein 3A-like, with no coding region annotated. The record is from RefSeq and is a predicted model, not a curated record. The transcript is spliced from 20 exons. Lineage: Eukaryota; Viridiplantae; Streptophyta; Magnoliopsida; Magnoliales; Magnoliaceae.